GACGAACCGUGCGAACGUUAUUCGGAAUCAUUGGGCUUAAAGGGCGCGUAGGCGGCGGUGUAAGUUGGAAGUGAAAUCCCAUCGGCUCAACCGUGGAAUCGCUCCCAGUACUGCAUCGCUCGAGGGGGAUAGGGGUCUGCGGAACUACCGGUGGAGCGGUGAAAUGUGUUGAUAUCGGUGGGAACGCCAGUGGCGAAAGCGGCAGACUUGACCCUUCCUGACGCUGAGGCGCGAAAGCUAGGGGAGCAAACGGG
RNAcentral lists this ribosomal RNA (254 nucleotides) under uncultured bacterium. Its description in RNAcentral is "partial 16S ribosomal RNA". It matches the Rfam family "Bacterial small subunit ribosomal RNA", at positions 524 to 776 of the family's 1533-position model. The record is from RNAcentral.